ACCUCUGCAAUUUGUGUAAUGUUACACCCAGUAAUGCUCCAAAGGGUGUCCAAGCACAAAAAGUACUUUAUCCAGAUAAAGAUGUAUUCCUGCUUAAAAUUGGGAAACAAACUGAUGAACCGAACCGCACAGGAAACAUUGAGGUAGAGCUAGUUACUCCUCGGGCACCAGCUAAACCACAGCCAGCGACUCAUUCUUGCAAACAAAUACAGUGCGAAGAAAAUGAAAUACCUUGUUGCCUACCAUGCAGAACGUGUCGUCGUGUCUAUCCUAAAAAAAGAAAGACUAAAAGGCCUAAUUGUUGUUUGUAAUUAAAAUCACCUGUCAAAUAGAAAAAAAAAUAAUGUUUGUAAUUUUUUAUACAUUAAUGAAAAUUGUAAUGUUACUACGUAAUUAUUUUUCUUGUCGAAAUCGUUCUAUAGAAUUCUAUUUUUCUAAGUACAUAUCAAAGAAAGUUCCUAACUGCUAACGUAGAUAAUAUGCAUUGGUCAUAGGCGUAAUAAAUCAUUUUCUGGUUUACAAUUUUUAUUUGUUGCUUACACUUAUCGCGUAAUCAAAGUAAUAAAACUGUAUAUUAACCGAGGAAA
Molecule: unclassified non-coding RNA, 587 nt
Filed under: Melitaea cinxia (Glanville fritillary)
Lineage: Eukaryota; Metazoa; Arthropoda; Insecta; Lepidoptera; Nymphalidae
Description: misc RNA ENSMCXG00005014061.1
Source: RNAcentral